UACGGAGGGUGCAAGCGUUAUCCGGAUUCACUGGGUUUAAAGGGUGCGUAGGUGGGCAGGUAAGUCAGUGGUGAAAUCUCCGAGCUUAACUCGGAAACUGCCGUUGAUACUAUUUGUCUUGAAUAUUGUGGAGGUAAGCGGAAUAUGUCAUGUAGCGGUGAAAUGCUUAGAUAUGACAUAGAACACCAAUUGCGAAGGCAGCUUACUACACAACGAUUGACGCGGAGGCACGAAAGCGUGGGAUCAAACAGG
This 252-nucleotide ribosomal RNA is filed under the name uncultured bacterium. RNAcentral's name for it is "partial 16S ribosomal RNA". It matches the Rfam family "Bacterial small subunit ribosomal RNA", at positions 524 to 776 of the family's 1533-position model. The record is from RNAcentral.